Molecule: unclassified non-coding RNA, 262 nt
Filed under: Hevea brasiliensis (rubber tree)
Lineage: Eukaryota; Viridiplantae; Streptophyta; Magnoliopsida; Malpighiales; Euphorbiaceae
Source: RNAcentral
AAAAUUGAAGAAACCCCACACCUCUCAAAACUGUGUUUUUUCUCUCAAAUUUGCUCCAAAAUUCAUCAAAAUUCGGAUCCCACCAUCCGUUUUAAGGCCGAGAAUAACGAGAAAACUCUAGUGGUGGUCCGUGAAUAGUUCGUGAUCAGUUUUUUGAGGUUCUCGAGGACAAAUUUUGAGCUAAAACAAGGUUACGGAGUUGAAAAGAUAUUGUGUUGCUCUUAGUGUUUGUGAAAGAAGAACUUUGUGUCAAUUCGAGAGA